GCCUUAGAUUUAUAAUUUUGAAAAUGGAUUUUUUUUUU
This 38-nucleotide ribosomal RNA is filed under the name Saccharomyces cerevisiae (brewer's yeast). RNAcentral describes it as "partial 18S ribosomal RNA". Lineage: Eukaryota; Fungi; Ascomycota; Saccharomycetes; Saccharomycetales; Saccharomycetaceae. The record is from RNAcentral.